Molecule: ribosomal RNA, 468 nt
Filed under: uncultured bacterium
Lineage: Bacteria
Description: partial 16S ribosomal RNA
Rfam family: Bacterial small subunit ribosomal RNA
Source: RNAcentral
GACGAACGCUGGCGGCGUGCUUAACACAUGCAAGUCGAACGGAAAGGCCCUGCUUUUGUGGGGUGCUCGAGUGGCGAACGGGUGAGUAACACGUGAGUAACCUGCCCUUGACUUUGGGAUAACUUCAGGAAACUGGGGCUAAUACCGGAUAGGAGCUCCUGCUGCAUGGUGGGGGUUGGAAAGUUUCGGCGGUUGGGGAUGGACUCGCGGCUUAUCAGCUUGUUGGUGGGGUAGUGGCUUACCAAGGCUUUGACGGGUAGCCGGCCUGAGAGGGUGACCGGCCGCAUUGGGACUGAGAUACGGCCCAGACUCCUACGGGACGCAGCAGUGGGGAAUAUUGCACAAUGGGCGGAAGCCUGAUGCAGCAACGCCGCGUGCGGGAUGACGGCCUUCGGGUUGUAAACCGCUUUCGCCUGUGACGAAGCGUGAGUGACGGUAAUGGGUAAAGAAGCACCGGCUAACUACGUG